GAUGAGCCGAUGUCGGAUUAGCUAGUUGGCGGGGUAAAGGCCCACCAAGGCGACGAUCCGUAGCUGGUCUGAGAGGAUGAUCAGCCACACUGGGACUGAGACACGGCCCAGACUCCUACGGGAGGCAGCAGUGGGGAAUAUUGGACAAUGGGGGCAACCCUGAUGGAGCAACGCCGCGUGCAGGAGGAAGGUCUUCGGAUCGUAAACUGCUUUUCCCAGGGACGAGCAAGGACGGUACCUGGGGAACAAGCCCCGGCUAACUACGUGCCAGCAGCCGCGGUAAUACGUAGGGGACGAGCGUUGUCCGGAGUUACUGGGCGUAAAGCGCCCGCAGGCGGUGCGGCGCGUUUGCACUGACAGCGGCCAGCUUAACUGGGCGAGGCGUGCAAAGACGGCCGCACUUCGAGGGCCAGAGAGGGACAUGGAACUCCAGGUGUAGUGGUGAAAUGCGUAGAUAUCUGGAAG
Molecule: ribosomal RNA, 465 nt
Filed under: uncultured Pseudomonadota bacterium
Lineage: Bacteria; Pseudomonadati; Pseudomonadota
Description: bacterial SSU rRNA
Rfam family: Bacterial small subunit ribosomal RNA
Source: RNAcentral